AGGGGCGUGGCUCAAUUGGUAGAGUAGUGGACUCCAAAUCCAUUGGUUGCGGGUUCAAAUCCUGCCGCCCCUGCCA
RNAcentral lists this transfer RNA (76 nucleotides) under Clostridia bacterium. RNAcentral's name for it is "tRNA-Trp". It matches the Rfam family "tRNA". From Rfam's summary of the family: Transfer RNA (tRNA) molecules are approximately 80 nucleotides in length. Their secondary structure includes four short double-helical elements and three loops (D, anti-codon, and T loops). Lineage: Bacteria; Bacillati; Bacillota; Clostridia. The record is from RNAcentral.